This is a long non-coding RNA of Etheostoma spectabile (orangethroat darter), 160 nucleotides long. RefSeq lists it as uncharacterized. The record is from RefSeq and is a predicted model, not a curated record. The transcript is spliced from 3 exons. NCBI's taxonomy places the organism in Eukaryota, Metazoa, Chordata, Actinopteri, Perciformes, Percidae.
GUCUUCUCUGAACUAUAGCUUCACGUUUUUCUCACAUCCGGGAAUGCUGUGUGGACUAGGCAGACCUUCCUCUCCAGCACUGUGUAGGAAGGUCUGUCAAAUCAAGGCUAGUUUUGAGUAGACACCACAUUGGCUGAAAAUGAAAUCCAGACAACUAUAG